Molecule: ribosomal RNA, 265 nt
Filed under: uncultured prokaryote
Description: partial 16S ribosomal RNA
Rfam family: Bacterial small subunit ribosomal RNA
Source: RNAcentral
UACGUAGGUGGCGAGCGUUAUCCGGAAUUAUUGGGCGUAAAGAGCGCGCAGGUGGUUGAUUAAGUCUGAUGUGAAAGCCCACGGCUUAACCGUGGAGGGUCAUUGGAAACUGGUCGACUUGAGUGCAGAAGAGGGAAGUGGAAUUCCAUGUGUAGCGGUGAAAUGCGUAGAUAUCAGGAGGAACACCGGCGGCGAAGGCGGCUUGCUGGACGGCAACUGACGUUGAGGCUCGAAAGCGUGGGGAGCAAACAGGAUUAGAUACCCU